GUGGUCGUAGCUCAGCUGGUAGAGCACUCGGUUGUGGUCCGAGAGGUCGCGGGUUCAAAACCCGUCGAUCACCCCA
RNAcentral lists this transfer RNA (76 nucleotides) under Glycomyces sp. TRM65418. RNAcentral describes it as "tRNA-His". It matches the Rfam family "tRNA". Rfam says of the family: Transfer RNA (tRNA) molecules are approximately 80 nucleotides in length. Their secondary structure includes four short double-helical elements and three loops (D, anti-codon, and T loops). Further hydrogen bonds mediate the characteristic L-shaped molecular structure. tRNAs have two regions of fundamental functional importance: the anti-codon, which is responsible for specific mRNA codon recognition, and the 3' end, to which the tRNAs corresponding amino acid is attached (by aminoacyl-tRNA synthetases). tRNAs cope with the degeneracy of the genetic code in two manners: having more than one tRNA (with a specific anti-codon) for a particular amino acid; and 'wobble' base-pairing, i.e. permitting non-standard base-pairing at the 3rd anti-codon position. RNAcentral also lists the same sequence under 1 other name. Lineage: Bacteria; Bacillati; Actinomycetota; Actinomycetes; Glycomycetales; Glycomycetaceae. The record is from RNAcentral.